Molecule: long non-coding RNA, 1144 nt
Filed under: Sinocyclocheilus grahami
Lineage: Eukaryota; Metazoa; Chordata; Actinopteri; Cypriniformes; Cyprinidae
Description: lncRNA (ENSSGRG00000014962.1)
Source: RNAcentral
AUCAGCGGCAGGCGCGGCUUGUGAUUGUCACAUUGCUUAUGAAACUGGAGCUUAAAUGCACUCAUUGCACUUCAGACACAACAAAGCGCCAGUGAUCUCAGAGCUGCAGUCGAGAAGCACUGUUUCCAGAUCAUCACUGCCUACAUGGCAGAACAUCAGUGGAGCGUCACAAACUCCAGGAAUCACAAAAAGACCAGCGAACAGGACGAGAGACAAUCUACUGAACCAGGAGAGAAACAGACCAAAAGACUAAUUAAAAAGAACAGCUUUCGUAGAGAGAGGCCAAACUAUUGUCAUGAUUCAGACAGACCUGCAGAGAUUCAUUCUGAUGACAUUCAAAGAUGAGGUGAGAUACUGAUAUAUAUGCAGAGAAUAAUAGAGUUCAAACUGUAGAACUGAUGUAGAACUAUGAUGUAUGAUGACAGUGUUUUCUCUUUCUAGAAAGCGGCAGCUCCUUUUCAUCAUCACUGUCAGUCGCUGAAGCUGCAGAUUCUACGAAACACAGACUCCUCCUUAAGAAACACUCAGUUUUGAUAGCAUUUGUUCUGUGUACAUAUUUAAACCCGUUUUAAAUUCAUUUGAUUUGGUAUAUUUUGUCCUCAUGUCCUCUUGCACAAUUUCCGUUUGCACUGUUUGUCCUGAAUGUUUCAUUUGCACAGUCUGUGAUCAGAGAAUGCAUGUUUUUAUGUUUAAUUAGAUUAACUGAUUUUAUAUAGACUGUUUGUGUAUUUAUAUUUGUUUAUACCACGGCCCUAUGAGUCACAACAAUGUGUUCCUUUUCAUGUCUCUUUACACUAUUUUCUCUGAAAUCUCAAAAAUCCUGUAUAAUGUCUAAAUAAUGUCUGUACAGUUUGACUGAAGAUCUAAAUUCAGUGAAGAUUUAUGUCAGAAUGAACGAUGGUUGAAAGCACCACAAGAGCAUUCACUGUCUAAAAACAACGGCUGAAUCUUUUGAGCAUCAAAGCGUGUGAAAACACGUUCUCCCUGACCGAAUGAAUGCUGAACAGCAGGUCCAGAUACUGCUCAAGGUGGAAACAAACAUGAACUAAUAUGCAAAUAAACCUACUAGCUGUUUACCGUUAUGGUUUUGGUCUGUUUUCUGUGUUUUGGGUCAUGUCCUUGUCUACUGGUGUCCUCAUUCCUG